GGAGGGGUGCCAGAGUGGCUGAAUGGGACGGAUUGCUAAUCCGUUAUGCGGGUUAAACCGCAUCGAGGGUUCGAAUCCCUCUCCCUCCGCCA
RNAcentral lists this transfer RNA (92 nucleotides) under Parcubacteria group bacterium. RNAcentral's name for it is "tRNA-Ser". It matches the Rfam family "tRNA". From Rfam's summary of the family: Transfer RNA (tRNA) molecules are approximately 80 nucleotides in length. The record is from RNAcentral. RNAcentral also lists the same sequence under 1 other name.